RNAcentral lists this ribosomal RNA (385 nucleotides) under marine copepod environmental sample. Its description in RNAcentral is "SSU rRNA". It matches the Rfam family "Eukaryotic small subunit ribosomal RNA", at positions 587 to 972 of the family's 1831-position model. The record is from RNAcentral. Lineage: Eukaryota; Metazoa; Arthropoda; Copepoda.
AGCUCCAAUAGCGUAUAUUAAAGUUGUUGCGGUUAAAAAGCUCGUAGUUGGAUCUCGGCGAGUAGGGGGCGGUUCGUUAUUUGACGGUACUGCCCCAUUUACUCGUGUUUUUGACAGAGGGUUGGUGGUCCCCUUUAUUGGGUGUCUCCGGUCACUGUCAGGUUUACUUUGAAAAAAUUAGAGUGCUCAAAGCAGGCUAUCAACGCUUGAAUAUUCGUGCAUGGAAUAAUAGAAUAGGAAGUCGUUUCUAUUUUGUUGGUUUUAGGAAAAUGACUUAAUGAUUAAUAGGGACAAUCGGGGGCAUUAGUAUUCAAACGACAGAGGUGAAAUUCUUGGACCGUUUGAAGACUAACUACUGCGAAAGCAUUUGCCAAGAGUGUUUUCA